This is an RNA transcript of Benincasa hispida (wax gourd), 2845 nucleotides long. It is a transcript of the gene named tetratricopeptide repeat (TPR)-containing protein, with no coding region annotated. The record is from RefSeq and is a predicted model, not a curated record. NCBI's taxonomy places the organism in Eukaryota, Viridiplantae, Streptophyta, Magnoliopsida, Cucurbitales, Cucurbitaceae.
AAAAAGAAAAAAUAGUUCGACGCCAAAAAUUAAAUUACAAAACAAAAUAUAGAUCUCGUUUGCUCGCUCUGUUUCUGAGAGACAAAUGCUGCGAGCCUCAAUUUCCUCCAAGCUGUUUGUAAAUUGUAAUUGAUCCGCCACCGUACUCGUCGGCUUCCGGCCAAAUUGUCGGCCUCAUUUGCCUAGUUUUCAGCUUAUUGUUUGUCGUCAAUGAUCCCUUUCAAGCAAGCAUCCAUUGAUGUCAGCUCCUCAAUUUCUCCGUUGGAAGAAGCAAAUUCAUGAAGGGAAUUGAAGAAAGUAAAACUUAUGACGUCAACUGUUGAUGAAGAUGAUAGGGAGCCAGCCAUGGAGUCUGGCGAAUCUGAUGAAGGAAUAGUUGUCCGAGAAGUCUGUGCAAAUGGGAUCUGCAUAAAAACAACAGAAGUAGAAGCAAAGCUCGAUGAGGGAAAUAUCCAAGAGGCAGAAUCUUCAUUACGGGAAGGGUUAUCUCUCAAUUUUGAGGAAGCCAGAGCCCUUCUUGGGAAGUUGGAAUAUCAGAGAGGUAAUGUCGAAGGUGCUCUACGCGUGUUUGAUGGUAUUGAUCUCCAAGCAGCUAUUCAACGAUUACAGCCUAGUGUUUCUGAGAAGACACCUCCAAAAAAGGGACGCUCGCGCACUGAAUCUCAACAUGCAGUUUCGCAGCAUGCUGCAAACCUGGUUCUUGAAGCCAUAUAUUUAAAAGUGAAGUCUCUUCAGAAGCUAGGGAGAGUAACUGAGGCUGCUGAUGAGUGUACUAGUGUACUUGAUGCUGUAGAGAAGAUAUUCCAGCAAGGAAUUCCUGAUGGGCAAGUGGAUAGCAGAUUGCAAGAUACUGUCAGUCAGGCUGUAGAACUCCUCCCUGAGCUAUGGAAGCAGGCUGGCUGUUUCCAGGAAGCAAUAUCUGCUUAUAGACGUGCCCUCCUAAGCCAAUGGAACCUCAAUAAUGAAAGCUGUGCUAGGAUCCAGAAAGGAUUUGCUGUUUUUUUGCUUUACAGUGGAGUAGAGGCUGGUCCUCCUAGUUUAGCUGUUCAACUUGAAGGUUCUUAUGUACCAAAAAAUAAUUUGGAAGAAGCAAUUCUACUUUUGAUGGUCCUUGUGAAGAAAUAUUACCUUGGUAAAAUAAAAUGGGAUCCAUCGGUGAUGGAGCACCUAAUAUAUGCUCUAUCCUUGUGCAGUCAGACGUCUGUUUUAGCAAAACAGCUUGAAGAGGUCAUGCCUGGAGUAUAUCACCGUGUAGAUCGUUGGAAGUAUUUAGCUUUUUGUUAUUGUGCAGCAGGACAGAAUAAAGUUGCCUUAAAUCUUCUGAGAAAGUCUCUACAUAAACAUGAGAAACCAGAUGAUGUGGCAGCUUUAUUAUUGGCUGCCAAGAUCUGUAGUGAGGAUCCUUAUCUUGCUGCUGAAGGAGUUGGUUAUGCCCAGCGGGUAAUGAAUAAUUCUAUAGAAAAUGAAGAGCAUUUAAAGGGUGUAGGUCUUCGCUUGUUAGGUCUUUGUCUGGGAAAACAAGCCAAAAUGUCUUCCUCUGACUUUGAGAGGUCCCGUCUUCAGUCAGAGGCAUUGAAAUCUCUUGAGGCAGCAAGUGGUCUGGAGAGCAAUAAUUUAGAUUUGAUGCUUGAGUUAGGAGUACAAUAUUCAGAAUAUCGAAAUUUGAAUGCUGCUCUGCAAUAUGCAAAGAAGUUUAUUGAUGAAACCGGUGGCUCUGUCUUAAAAGGCUGGCAGUUGCUUGCUCUUGUUUUGUCUGCCCAAAAGAGAUUCUCAGAGGCUGAAGUGGUCACUGAUGCUGCAAUGGAUGAGACAACAAAAUGGGAACAAGGUCCACUUCUCAGACUCAAGGCAAAGCUGAAAGUUUCUCAAUCAUUACAUAUGGAUGCUAUCGAAACUUACCGUUAUCUCCUUGCAUUAGUUCAAGCGCAAAAGAAAUCAUUUGGACCUCUCCGAAUUAUCCCUCAGGUUGAAGAUGAUAAAGUGAAUGAAUUUGAAGUGUGGAAUGGUCUAGCCAAUUUAUACUCCAGCCUUUCACAUUGGAAAGAUGCAGAGAUAUGUCUAGGAAAAGCAAGAGAGCUGAAAGAGUUCUCCCCAGAAGUACUACAUAGUGAAGGUCUAAUGUGUGAAGGACGUGAGAAAAUACAAGAAGCUCUAGCAGCUUAUAUUAAUGCUCUCCUACUCGAACCGUCUUAUGUUCCUUGCAAGGUUUUGAUUGGUGCUCUUUGGUCGAAAGCGGGCCCGGAUGCAUUGCCUAUAGCGAGAAGCUUACUUUCAGACGCAUUGAGAUUAGAUCCUACCAACCGUAAGGCUUGGUUUUACUUAGGGGUCAUUCAUCGGGACGAAGGACGAAUGGCUGAUGCUAUAGACUGCUUCCAGGCGGCCGCCAUGCUUGAAGAAUCCGAUCCCAUUGAAAGCUUCAGCAGUAUUCUCUAGUCAGUCAUUAAUUUAUUGAAGGUCUCAGUUUUCAUUAUUUUUUUUCUUCGUGGAUUAAAACGAUCACUUCAAACUGGCUAUGCAAUGGUCACAGGCGAUAUUUCACUUUCUUCGGGGCCGAAAAGAAGGCACUGGCGAAAUGUGAAGAACUGUGCUGUAAGUUGUAACUGAAAAAACUUAAUCUAUAAGUUUAAUAAGAUAAAGAAUCUGUUUUAAAACUAUAUAAAUAUGAAGUUAGAAAGGAUGAAUUGUAGAGAGAUGAGUUGGUGGAUAUUUUAAAAAAUUGAUUGUUUGUUCUUACCAUUCUUGCUCAGCAAUGUAUAUUUAUUCUUGUAACUGAGCAAUAUUAGAGGAAUUAUACCUUUUUCUUCUGUUUAUUUGUUGUGAUGUAUGAAAUUUUCUUCCAAUCCAA